This 16-nucleotide small RNA is filed under the name Bombyx mori (domestic silkworm). RNAcentral's name for it is "ovarian small RNA-10757". Lineage: Eukaryota; Metazoa; Arthropoda; Insecta; Lepidoptera; Bombycidae. The record is from RNAcentral.
AAUAGCCUCGGUAGCG